AUUGAACGCUGGCGGCAGGCCUAACACAUGCAAGUCGAACGAGUGGCGGACGGGUGCGUAAUGUCUGGGAAACUUCCUGCUGGCUGGGGAUAACUACUGGACACUGUCGCUAAUACCGCAUACCAUCAGAUGUGCCCAGCUGGGAUUAGCUUGUUGGUGGGGUAACGGGUCACCAAGGCGACGAUCCCUAGCUGGUCUGAGAGGAUGACCAGCCACACUGGAACGGAGACACGGGCCAGACGCCUACGGGAGGCAGCAGUGGGGAAUAUUGCACAAUGGGGGCAAGCCUGAUGCAGCCAGGCCGCGGGUAUGAAGAAGGCCUUCGGGUUGUAAAGUACUUUGAGCGGGGAGGCGUUACCCGCAGAAGAAGCACCGGCUAACUCCGUGCCAGCAGCCGCGGUAAUUC
This 406-nucleotide ribosomal RNA is filed under the name uncultured bacterium. RNAcentral describes it as "partial 16S ribosomal RNA". It matches the Rfam family "Bacterial small subunit ribosomal RNA", at positions 30 to 526 of the family's 1533-position model. The record is from RNAcentral.